Molecule: ribosomal RNA, 1372 nt
Filed under: uncultured bacterium
Lineage: Bacteria
Description: bacterial SSU rRNA
Rfam family: Bacterial small subunit ribosomal RNA
Source: RNAcentral
GAUGAACGCUGGCGGCGUGCCUAAUACAUGCAAGUCGAGCGAACGGACGAGAAGCUUGCUUCUCUGAUGUUAGCGGCGGACGGGUGAGUAACACGUGGAUAACCUACCUAUAAGACUGGGAUAACUUCGGGAAACCGGAGCUAAUACCGGAUAAUAUUUUGAACCGCAUGGUUCAAAAGUGAAAGACGGUCUUGCUGUCACUUAUAGAUGGAUCCGCGCUGCAUUAGCUAGUUGGUAAGGUAACGGCUUACCAAGGCAACGAUGCAUAGCCGACCUGAGAGGGUGAUCGGCCACACUGGAACUGAGACACGGUCCAGACUCCUACGGGAGGCAGCAGUAGGGAAUCUUCCGCAAUGGGCGAAAGCCUGACGGAGCAACGCCGCGUGAGUGAUGAAGGUCUUCGGAUCGUAAAACUCUGUUAUUAGGGAAGAACAUAUGUGUAAGUAACUGUGCACAUCUUGACGGUACCUAAUCAGAAAGCCACGGCUAACUACGUGCCAGCAGCCGCGGUAAUACGUAGGUGGCAAGCGUUAUCCGGAAUUAUUGGGCGUAAAGCGCGCGUAGGCGGUUUUUUAAGUCUGAUGUGAAAGCCCACGGCUCAACCGUGGAGGGUCAUUGGAAACUGGAAAACUUGAGUGCAGAAGAGGAAAGUGGAAUUCCAUGUGUAGCGGUGAAAUGCGCAGAGAUAUGGAGGAACACCAGUGGCGUAGGCGACUUUCUGGUCUGUAACUGACGCUGAUGUGCGAAAGCGUGGGGAUCAAACAGGAUUAGAUACCCUGGUAGUCCACGCCGUAAACGAUGAGUGCUAAGUGUUAGGGGGUUUCCGCCCCUUAGUGCUGCAGCUAACGCAUUAAGCACUCCGCCUGGGGAGUACGACCGCAAGGUUGAAACUCAAAGGAAUUGACGGGGACCCGCACAAGCGGUGGAGCAUGUGGUUUAAUUCGAAGCAACGCGAAGAACCUUACCAAAUCUUGACAUCCUUUGACAACUCUAGAGAUAGAGCCUUCCCCUUCGGGGGACAAAGUGACAGGUGGUGCAUGGUUGUCGUCAGCUCGUGUCGUGAGAUGUUGGGUUAAGUCCCGCAACGAGCGCAACCCUUAAGCUUAGUUGCCAUCAUUAAGUUGGGCACUCUAAGUUGACUGCCGGUGACAAACCGGAGGAAGGUGGGGAUGACGUCAAAUCAUCAUGCCCCUUAUGAUUUGGGCUACACACGUGCUACAAUGGACAAUACAAAGGGCAGCGAAACCGCGAGGUCAAGCAAAUCCCAUAAAGUUGUUCUCAGUUCGGAUUGUAGUCUGCAACUCGACUACAUGAAGCUGGAAUCGCUAGUAAUCGUAGAUCAGCAUGCUACGGUGAAUACGUUCCCGGGUCU